Molecule: ribosomal RNA, 225 nt
Filed under: uncultured bacterium
Lineage: Bacteria
Description: partial 16S ribosomal RNA
Rfam family: Bacterial small subunit ribosomal RNA
Source: RNAcentral
CGUAACGCGUAUACAAUCUACCUUUUACAGGGGGAUAGCCCAGAGAAAUUUGGAUUAAUUCCCCAUGGCAUAUAUUUAUGGCAUCAUAUAUAUAUUAAAGAUUCAUCGGUAAGAGAUGAGUAUGCGUUCUAUUAGCUAGUUGGUGCGGUAACGGCGCACCAAGGCUACGAUAGAUAGGGGCCCUGAGAGGGGGAUCCCCCACACUGGUACUGAGACACGGACCAG